UGCUGCCCCCGAGUCUGAGGUGAGCUGCAGCCCUGGCUCCCCUGGCUCUCUCUGCUGCCCCCGAGUCUGAGGUGAGCUGCAGCCCUGGCUCCCCUGGCUCUGCUGCCCCGAGCUGGCUAAGCAGUCCGUCUGUUUGCAGAUGGGCUGUGUGCCUGGAGCGAGGAGGAGUGCAGGAACUUUGAACAUGGCUUCCGUGUUCACGGGAAGAACUUCCAUCUGAUUCAGGCCAACAAGGUCCGCACGCGGUCAGUGGGCGAGUGUGUGGAGUAUUAUUACCUGUGGAAGAAGUCUGAGCGCUAUGACUACUUUGCCCAGCAGACGAGGCUGGGUCGGAGGAAGUUCGUCUCCUCCGGAACCACGUGCGUGCUCAUUCUAGCCAUCUGGCCAGGGUGGCGUGGUGUGGUGUGGGGUAGCCCCUCCUGGUGGGGUCCUUCUUCCCUCUUUACAGCUCUCUUUCCACAGGGAUACUGAACAGGACCUGGAUGGUCUUGACCCUGAUGGCCAUGCCCGGCUGCAGUCUGAGACAAGGGUGCCCGUGGAGCCUCUGAGUGCGGACAUCGAAGCUGGUGGGCUUGAUCAGCCCGGAGUGGACUCGGAUGACCUCCCGUCCUCAGAGCCAGGACCGAGUCCCUUCCAGCAGCUGGAUGAACCCCCUGCCGUGCCCUCGCUCCAGCAGCCCACUAGCCUGGCCACCUCGGCUGAACUCCCACUGACUGAACUCCCACCGGCGGCUGCUGCUCCAGAGCCGGCCACCAGCCCCAGGCUGGCUGUGGACCUUGCCCUCCCUGAGGAGCUGCCCCUUGUGUCCAGCCCUGUGGCUCUGAAUGGCGACCCUGCAGAGCCCAUGGCUCCAGCACAGGUGGCCUUGUCGGUCACUGAAUUUGGACUCAUUGGCAUUGGGGAUGUGAAUCCCUUCCUAACUGGCCACCCAGCGUGCCCAGCCUCCACACUGCACGCAGAGCCCCUGUCACA
This 972-nucleotide long non-coding RNA is filed under the name Rattus norvegicus (Norway rat). Its description in RNAcentral is "long non-coding RNA NONRATT025603". The record is from RNAcentral. Lineage: Eukaryota; Metazoa; Chordata; Mammalia; Rodentia; Muridae.